This 491-nucleotide ribosomal RNA is filed under the name uncultured bacterium. RNAcentral's name for it is "bacterial SSU rRNA". It matches the Rfam family "Bacterial small subunit ribosomal RNA", at positions 29 to 511 of the family's 1533-position model. The record is from RNAcentral.
AUUGAACGCUGGCGGCGUGCUUAACACAUGCAAGUCGAUCGGUAACAGGUGUAGCAAUACAUGCUGACGAGAGGCGGACGGGUGAGUAAUGCUUGGGAAUCUGCCUAUUAGUGGGGGACAACCCGGGGAAACUCGGGCUAAUACCGCAUACGCUCUACGGAGGAAAGCCGGGGACCGCAAGGCCUGGCGCUAAUAGAUGAGCCCAAGUCGGAUUAGCUAGUUGGUAGGGUAACGGCCUACCAAGGCGACAAUCCGUAGCUGGUCUGAGAGGACGACCAGCCACACCGGAAACUGAGACACGGUCCGGACUCCUACGGGAGGCAGCAGUGGGGAAUAUUGGACAAUGGGGGCAACCCUGAUCCAGCGACGCCGCGUGGGUGAAGAAGGCCUGCGGGUUGUAAAGCCCUUUCGGUGGGGAAGAAAAGUCUCGACCUAAUACGUCGGGACCUUGACGUAACCCACUAAAGAAGCACCGGCUAACUCUGUGCCAG